Molecule: ribosomal RNA, 478 nt
Filed under: uncultured bacterium
Lineage: Bacteria
Description: partial 16S ribosomal RNA
Rfam family: Bacterial small subunit ribosomal RNA
Source: RNAcentral
GACGAACGCUGGCGGCGUGCUUAACACAUGCAAGUCGAACGGUAAGGCCCUUCGGGGUACACGAGUGGCUAACGGGUGAGUAACACGUGGGUGAUCUGCCCUGCACUUCGGGAUAAGCCUGGGAAACUGGGUCUAAUACCGGAUAGGACCACUGCCUGCAUGGGUGGUGGUGGAAAGCUUUUGCGGUGUGGGAUGGGCCCGCGGCCUAUCAGCUUGUUGGUGGGGUGAUGGCCUACCAAGGCGACGACGGGGAGCCGGCCUGAGAGGGUGACCGGCCACACUGGGACUGAGAUACGGCCCAGACUCCUACGGGAGGCAGCAGUGGGGAAUAUUGCACAAUGGGCGCAAGCCUGAUGCAGCGACGCCGCGUGAGGGAUGACGGCCUUCGGGUUGUAAACCUCUUUCAGCACCGACGAAGCGCAAGUGACGGUAGGUGCAGAAGAAGGACCGGCCAACUACGUGCCAGCCGCCGCGGUAA